CGAGUAUGCAAUCUGCCUCUUACAGGGGAUAACACUGGGAAACUGGUACUAAUACCCCAUAACAUCAGAGAAGGCAUCUUCUUGGGUUAAAAGCUCCGGCGGUAAGAGAUGAGCAUGCGUUGUAUUAGUUAGUUGGCGAGGUAACGGCUCACCAAGACUACGAUACAUAGGGGGACUGAGAGGUUAGCCCCCCACACUGGUACUGAGACACGGACCAGACUCCUACGGGAGGCAGCAGUGAGGAAUAUUGGUCAAUGGACGCAAGUCUGAACCAGCCAUGCCGCGUGCAGGAUGACGGCUCUAUGAGUUGUAAACUGCUUUUAUACUAGGGUAAACUUAUCUACGUGUAGAUAACUGAAAGUAUAGUAUGAAUAAGGACCGGCUAACUCCGUGCCAGCAGCCGCGGUAAUACGGAGAAUCCAAGCGUUAUCCGGAUUUAUUGGGUUUAAAGGGUGCGUAGGCGGCUUUUUAAGUUAGAGGUGAAAUCCAGGGGCUCAACCCCUGAACUGCCUCUGAUACUGGAGAGCUAGCGAGUAGAUGCUGUUGGCGGAAUGUGUGGUGUAGCGGUGAAAUGCUUAGAGAUCACACAGAACACCGAUUGCGAAGGCAGCUGACAAAUCUAUUUCGGACGCUGAGGCACGAAAGCGUGGGGAGCAAACAGGAUUAGAUACCCUGGUAGUCCACGCCGUAAACGAUGAUAACUCGAUGUCGGCGAUACACAGCCGGUGUCCAAGCGAAAGCGAUAAGUUAUCCACCUGGGGAGUACG
This 767-nucleotide ribosomal RNA is filed under the name uncultured bacterium. RNAcentral describes it as "bacterial SSU rRNA". It matches the Rfam family "Bacterial small subunit ribosomal RNA", at positions 114 to 884 of the family's 1533-position model. The record is from RNAcentral.